UACAGAGGAUGCAAGCGUUAUCCGGAAUGAUUGGGCGUAAAGCGUCUGUGGGUGGCUUUUUAAGUCCGCCGUCAAAUCCCAGGGCUCAACUCUGGACAGGCGGUGGAAACUACCAAGCUGGAGUACGGUAGGGGCAGAGGGAAUUUCCGGUGGAGCGGUGAAAUGCGUAGAGAUCGGGAAGAACACCCGUGGCGAAGGCGGUGUGCUGGGUUGCAACUGACGCUGAGAUGCGAAAGUGUGGGGAGCAAACGGG
Molecule: ribosomal RNA, 253 nt
Filed under: uncultured bacterium
Lineage: Bacteria
Description: partial 16S ribosomal RNA
Rfam family: Bacterial small subunit ribosomal RNA
Source: RNAcentral